This 405-nucleotide ribosomal RNA is filed under the name uncultured bacterium. Its description in RNAcentral is "partial 16S ribosomal RNA". It matches the Rfam family "Bacterial small subunit ribosomal RNA", at positions 30 to 526 of the family's 1533-position model. The record is from RNAcentral.
AUUGAACGCUAGCGGGAUGCUUAACACAUGCAAGUCGAACGAGUGGCGGACGGGUGAGUAAUAUAUCGAAACGUGCCCAGGCGCGGGGGAUAACUACUCGAAAGAGUGGCUACUACCGCAUACUAUUGGCGCGGCCGAGAUCGGAUUAGCUAGUUGGUGGGGUAAAGGCUCACCAAGGAAACGAUCCGUAGCUGGUGUGAGAGGACGACCAGCCACACUGGGACUGAGAAACGGCCCAGACUCCUACGGGAGGCAGCCGUGGGGAAUUUUGGACAAUGGGGGAAACCCUGAUCCAGCCAUCCCGCGUGUAUGAGAAGGCCUUCGGGUUGUAAAGUACUUUUGGCAGAGAAGCGGUAUCUGCAGAAUAAGCACCGGCUAACUACGUGCCAGCAGCCGCGGUAAUAC